RNAcentral lists this ribosomal RNA (581 nucleotides) under Gordonia sp. 11397. RNAcentral's name for it is "bacterial SSU rRNA". It matches the Rfam family "Bacterial small subunit ribosomal RNA", at positions 56 to 653 of the family's 1533-position model. Lineage: Bacteria; Bacillati; Actinomycetota; Actinomycetes; Mycobacteriales; Gordoniaceae. The record is from RNAcentral.
UGCAGUCGACGGAAGGCCCAGCUUGCUGGGUACUCGAGUGGCGAACGGGUGAGUAACACGUGGGUGAUCUGCCCUGCACUCUGGGAUAAGCCUGGGAAACUGGGUCUAAUACCGGAUAUGACCAACUGUCGCAUGGUGGUUGGUGGAAAGCUUUUGCGGUGUGGGAUGGGCCCGCGGCCUAUCAGCUUGUUGGUGGGGUAAUGGCCUACCAAGGCGACGACGGGUAGCCGACCUGAGAGGGUGAUCGGCCACACUGGGACUGAGACACGGCCCAGACUCCUACGGGAGGCAGCAGUGGGGAAUAUUGCACAAUGGGCGCAAGCCUGAUGCAGCGACGCCGCGUGAGGGAUGACGGCCUUCGGGUUGUAAACCUCUUUCACCAGGGACGAAGCGGAAGUGACGGUACCUGGAGAAGAAGCACCGGCCAACUACGUGCCAGCAGCCGCGGUAAUACGUAGGGUGCGAGCGUUGUCCGGAAUUACUGGGCGUAAAGAGCUCGUAGGCGGUUUGUCGCGUCGUCUGUGAAAUUCUGCAACUCAAUUGCAGGCGUGCAGGCGAUACGGGCAGACUUGAGUACUACA